This is a long non-coding RNA of Gigantopelta aegis, 1323 nucleotides long. RefSeq lists it as uncharacterized. The record is from RefSeq and is a predicted model, not a curated record. Lineage: Eukaryota; Metazoa; Mollusca; Gastropoda; Neomphalida; Peltospiridae. The transcript is spliced from 3 exons.
GCAUCGGACGAUGAUUCUGUAGGCCUAAUUCUGAGAGACCUAAUUCUGAGAGGUCCUUGCUGUCUACAAACGAAAGAACGCCAACACCAAAUACGAAACAAACUACACCCAGUGAGGUUUUCAUUCAAGUUGAACUGUUGCAGACGUCAAAUAUUUUUGGACUCCAAUCUAUACAGUGGGAUGGCGAGGAAAUGUCAGUCGACAGAGAUGAACCACAGUUAUCAUUAGUAAGCCGAGGUGCUGAAGUUAUACUUCUGUCGAAGAAGAUCUUCCUCAAAUACGCCAACGAUACAUUGAAAAUCGCAGUGAAGACGCUGUCAAGGCCUUACCCUAAUGCUGAAACAAUGCAGAAGAAUUUACAGAUUCAAGUCAACUGGGACCUGUAUCGCGAGACGGUCCUUGCGGAUUACUUGAAGUACAGCAAAGACAGGCAAUGGCGAAAAACAAAACUGUAGCAUAGAUGCCGCAAUUCUGUUGUUUAUGAUUGUUUUAAGAUGUAUAUACAGUCAAACAUGUGUUAAUUAGUAUUCUACGGACUAUAAAUCAAACAGAUAGAUUUGAUAUUUUGGGAGAAUAUUAAGUUAUGAAUAUCUAUGUAGAUUGCCAAGUGAUCAAGUUUGACUGAAUAUAUAAACAAGUUGAGAGAUGUUCCAGAAAUGACUGGGCAGGCUUCGGCGUUGAAGUAUUUAAGCCAUCAAACUCAAGGCUGGUAGGCACUGGGUUCGUAUCCCGGUACAGACUCACACCCAGAAUAAGUUUUAAUGAAUAGGUAUAAGGCGAAUACACCGAAUACUCUCUCACUAACCACCGACCCAUAGUUUGUACCCACGACGAGCGUCUUUCAAUCAUAAUUGGAUGUAUGGAUGUUAAAUCGAUUCCUACCUGCAAGUAAAUUGAGCACCACCUGAAGUGGCGUCUAGAAGUUAGUAUCUGUAUCAACGGAGUUUAAACCAGAUAUUAAGAGUUUUUACAUAUUCAAUACAUACUGGGUAUUUACCGAGAUGACAUGAAUUAAUUACUUUUGGGAAGCACAUCAGAGUGAUUCCAGCUCCAUAGUUAAUUACCAUACAUUUCCAUACAAAUUUACUGUUUCUUGCGAUCGGGUUUUUUCUUUGUCUAGAAUACAUUAAAUGAUGCAACAACAGUGUAUCUUACUGUCAUAAAUCUCCUUAAAUAUCCUCUGUAUACAAAGGCAGCGCUUCUAGAACGUUUAUAAAACCUACUAGCCAUUGGAUCAGUGAUUUUAAACAUUUACUAGCCACGAUUAAAAAUUCACUAGCCCUACUUUUCUUUAAGUUAAUAAAAGUUUACUAAAUAAUAGUA